This 219-nucleotide ribosomal RNA is filed under the name uncultured Desulfobacteraceae bacterium. Its description in RNAcentral is "partial 16S ribosomal RNA". It matches the Rfam family "Bacterial small subunit ribosomal RNA", at positions 1163 to 1382 of the family's 1533-position model. Lineage: Bacteria; Pseudomonadati; Thermodesulfobacteriota; Desulfobacteria; Desulfobacterales; Desulfobacteraceae. The record is from RNAcentral.
GGGGAGGAAGGUGGGGAGUGACGUCAAGUCCUCAUGGCCUUAUGUCCAGGGCUACACACGUGCUACAAUGGGUUGUACAAAGGGUUGCGAACUCGCGAGAGUAAGCCAAUCCCAAAAGCAACUCUUAGUUCGGAUUGGAGUCUGCAACUCGACUCCAUGAAGCUGGAAUCGCUAGUAAUCAUGGAUCAGCAUGCCACGGUGAAUACGUUCCCGGGCCUU